RNAcentral lists this ribosomal RNA (494 nucleotides) under uncultured bacterium. RNAcentral's name for it is "bacterial SSU rRNA". It matches the Rfam family "Bacterial small subunit ribosomal RNA", at positions 24 to 518 of the family's 1533-position model. The record is from RNAcentral.
UUAGGACGAACGCUGGCGGCGUGCCUAACACAUGCAAGUCGAACGGAGUUAUUGUUAGAUCCCUCGGGGUGACGAACUUUAACUAGUGGCGGACGGGUGAGUAACGCGUGAGUAACCUGCCUCUGAGAGGGGAAUAACGUUCUGAAAAGAUCGCUAAUACCGCAUAACAUAUCGAAGUCGCAUGGCUUUGAUAUCAAAGAUUUUAUCGCUCGGAGAUGGACUCGCGUCCGAUUAGCUUGUUGGCGGGGUAACGGCCCACCAAGGCGACGAUCGGUAGCCGGACUGAGAGGUUGAUCGGCCACAUUGGGACUGAGACACGGCCCAGACUCCUACGGGAGGCAGCAGUGGGGGAUAUUGCGCAAUGGGGGGCCAACCCUGACGCAGCAACGCCGCGUGAAGGAAGACGGUUUUCGGAUUGUAAACUUCUUUUGUCAGGGACGAAUUCUGACGGUACCUGACGAAUAAGCUCCGGCUAACUACGUGCCAGCCGCCGC